Long non-coding RNA from Rhododendron vialii, 1039 nucleotides. RefSeq lists it as uncharacterized. The transcript is spliced from 2 exons. The record is from RefSeq and is a predicted model, not a curated record. NCBI's taxonomy places the organism in Eukaryota, Viridiplantae, Streptophyta, Magnoliopsida, Ericales, Ericaceae.
AUGGCCCUGCUCUUGAAAAUGAGGUAGUGAAAGAAAUUGUUUCUUCAUUGGACUUUGGAUUUAUUCCCUACACUAGAAAAAAAAAAGGGAGGUAUGAGGAAGAAGCAUCAUGCAAGUGGAAAGCUGUUGCUAUCUGUACUCUUAUUCAGUAAAUGGUCAAAAGAGUGUCACAUGCUAACUAAUCCUAAAAAUAUAUUGAUUGCGCUCCACAGUCUCAAGUACAUAUUUUUGAAAUUGGAGUCAUCCUUGGUUCCUGAGAAGAAUUUAAUUGCAUUGUGAUCUUGUGUAGGACCUGUUGGCAGAAAUACUUUUGUAUAAUUAGGCUUGUAAUAGGAUCGUCACUUAUGGUUAUGAGCUUGAUAUAAGAAUUUUUUUUGAAAAACUUGACAUUUUGUUGCAAAUACGGAUGAGGAUAACUACAUGCCUUCUAAACAAUCCAGAGCUGAUUUUAGGCCUCCCACCACAGCAAGAAAUGACGAGGAUACUGAUGCAAUGCAAAGUUCACUAGGUAGAUCACCGCGAGGACACUCAAAGAGAGGAUGUGCCUAUGACAGAUCAGACUGAUUAUGAACAAUACGAGGAUGAAAUGGAUGAAGAAGGUGAAUUUGAGAUGUAUCGUGUCCAAGGAACUUUAAGGGAGUGGGUUACUAGGGAUGAAGUGCGUCGCUUCAUUGCUAAGAAGUUCAAGGAGAUUUACUAACAUAUCACAAAUCAAAUAAUGACGAGGAUAUAGUCUAUGUGAGGCAGAUAAAUGAGAUGGUCUUGGGUAAAUCUCUUUAGGCAUCUUCUUUUAGUUUUGAAACUUUCAGAAUCCUACCAUUUCACAUCCUUCUUUUCUGUUAUUUACUCACUUUCCAAAAUGGAUUGAUCUUGUGCUUUUCUUUGCUGGCUGACUUUGUAUGUAGCUAAUAAGUGUAGUCUGGAGAUUGAUUACAAACAAUUCAUAUAUGUCCACCUGAACAUUGCGAUCUGGCUAGUUGAUGCACCUCAGUCUGUGCUGGAGGUUAUGGAAGAAGUUGCUAAAAUCGUUGUGUUUGAA